AAUAUUUAUAUAAUAUAAUUGUUUAUUAUAUAUAUAUUAAAUAAAAAUAAUUUUAUUGUUAUAGUAAAUUUUAUUAAAAAAAUUCUUUAUAAAAAACUGGAAAGGUAAUAUUUUAAAUGUAAAUAUUUAUAAGUAAAAUUAAUUUUGUACCUUUUGUAUCAGGGUAAAUUAAUUAUAUAUAUAAAUAUAUAUUUCCCGAAUUUUAAUGAUUUAAGUUUUUUUGUAAAUUAUUAUUGUAUAAAUAUUUAUAAAUUUAACUUAGUAGUGAAAUUUUUACGCAUUAUAAGAUAUCUGGUUUUUCAAGAGAUGAAUUUAAUUCAGAAUAUAUUAAUAUAAUUUAUAUUUUAAUUUUAAAUUAUUACAUAUAUUUUAUUAUAUUAGGGAUUAGCCAAUUAUAUAAACUAUAUAUUUAAUUAAAAUUAUAAAUUGUUUAGGCUUAAAAACAGCUAAUUAUUAGGGUAAGUUAUAUUUCAAUAUAAAUAUAUUUAUAUUUAUUUAUUUAUUAGGUAGAAAUUGAAAAAUUUAAAUUAAUUAUUAAUUUUUAAUUAUAAUGAUUUAAUUAGUAUAAUUAUUAAAUUUUAUUUAUGAAUUAGGCAAUCCGAAUUUUCACCUGUUUAUCAAAAACAUGUCUUUUAGAUAAGAAAAUUAAAGGUCUAAUCUGCCCAAUGAUUAUUUAAUGGCCGCAGUAAACUGACUGUGCAAAGGUAGCAUAAUAAUUAGUCUUUUAAUUGAAGGCUUGUAUGAAUGAUUGAAUGAAAAAUUUACUUUAUUAAUAUAAAUUAUUAUAAUUUAAUUUUUAGGUUAAAAAGCCUAAAUUUAAAAGUUGGACGAGAAGACCCUAUAGAGUUUAAAAAUUUUAUUUUUUAAUAUGAUUUUAGUAUUAUUAUUUUAAUAUAAUAAAUAUAUUUUUUUAUUGGGGUGAUAUUAAAAAAAAAAAGACUUUUAAUAUAUAUAACAUUAAUAUAUGUAAUUAAUGAUCCAAUUUUGUUGAUUAAAAGAAUAAAUUACCUUAGGGAUAACAGCGUAAUUAUUUUUUAGAGUUCAUAUCAAUAAAAUAGUUUGCGACCUCGAUGUUGGAUUAAGAAUAUUAUUUGGAGCAAAUACUAAAUAUUUAGGUCUGUUCGACCUUUAAAUUCUUACAUGAUCUGAGUUCAGACCGGCGUGAGCCAGGUUGGUUUCUAUCCACUUUAUUAUUAAAAAUAUUAGUACGAAAGGACCAUAUUAAUUAAUUUAAUUAUG
RNAcentral lists this ribosomal RNA (1239 nucleotides) under Trombonia linearis. RNAcentral describes it as "16S ribosomal RNA". The stretch from base 1015 to 1173 matches the Rfam family "Archaeal large subunit ribosomal RNA", at positions 2542 to 2701 of the family's 2987-position model. Lineage: Eukaryota; Metazoa; Arthropoda; Insecta; Hemiptera; Cicadidae. The record is from RNAcentral.